RNAcentral lists this long non-coding RNA (291 nucleotides) under Serinus canaria (Common canary). RNAcentral describes it as "lncRNA (ENSSCAG00000013092.1)". Lineage: Eukaryota; Metazoa; Chordata; Aves; Passeriformes; Fringillidae. The record is from RNAcentral.
GAAUUUUCAGACUUGCUAAAUGACUGAUAAAGGACUAACAUUUACCUACUGACAGGACUUGCAUUGGUUACACUGUGGUAAGCAGUAGACCAGAGCCUUUUCUGUGUAAAGUGCUGGCAUUCAAAGACCUACCACACGAAGUCCCAGUCCUGCAAUCAGACACAGAGAGAGCUUCCCAUGCAUCCAGAAGCCCACUACCAGCCAACAGAAACAUCAAAGAUCACUUUUGAAGGUUGCAGGAAGACUCAGCAGUACAAAUCUGGUAGCACCUCAAAGGCCUGCUAACAAAAC